Molecule: ribosomal RNA, 253 nt
Filed under: uncultured bacterium
Lineage: Bacteria
Description: partial 16S ribosomal RNA
Rfam family: Bacterial small subunit ribosomal RNA
Source: RNAcentral
UACGGAGGGAGCUAGCGUUGUUCGGAAUUACUGGGCGUAAAGCGCGCGUAGGCGGCUUUGUAAGUUAGAGGUGAAAGCCCGGGGCUCAACCCCGGAAUUGCCUUUAAGACUGCAUCGCUUGAAUCCGGGAGAGGUGAGUGGAAUUCCGAGUGUAGAGGUGAAAUUCGUAGAUAUUCGCAAGAACACCAGUGGCGAAGGCGGCUCACUGGCCCGGUACUGACGCUGAGGCACGAAAGCGUGGGGAGCAAACAGG